AUUGAACGCUGGCGGCAUGCCUUACACAUGCAAGUCGAACGGCAGCACGGGAGCAAUCCUGGUGGCGAGUGGCGAACGGGUGAGUAAUAUAUCGGAACGUGCCCAGUCGUGGGGAUAACGUAGCGAAAGCUACGCUAAUACCGCAUACGAUCUAUGGAUGAAAGCGGGGGAUCGCAAGACCUCGCGCGAUUGGAGCGGCCGAUAUCAGAUUAGGUAGUUGGUGAGGUAAGGCUCACCAAGCCGACGAUCUGUAGCUGGUCUGAGAGGACGACCAGCCACACUGGGACUGAGACACGGCCCAGACCUCCUACGGGAGGCAGCAGUGGGGAAUUUUGGACAAUGGGCGCAAGCCUGAUCCAGCAAUGCCGCGUGCAGGAUGAA
RNAcentral lists this ribosomal RNA (381 nucleotides) under uncultured bacterium. Its description in RNAcentral is "bacterial SSU rRNA". It matches the Rfam family "Bacterial small subunit ribosomal RNA", at positions 30 to 412 of the family's 1533-position model. The record is from RNAcentral.